This is a non-coding RNA of Potamilus streckersoni, 74 nucleotides long. The record is from the annotation of a GenBank genome assembly. Lineage: Eukaryota; Metazoa; Mollusca; Bivalvia; Unionida; Unionidae.
UGCAUGCUGGCCUAAGUAGUUAGAGUGUCUGCCUCUGAUGCAGGAAGUUGUGGGUUUGAACCCCAGUCAUGUCA